This 429-nucleotide ribosomal RNA is filed under the name Actinomycetes bacterium. RNAcentral's name for it is "Actinobacteria bacterium partial 16S ribosomal RNA". It matches the Rfam family "Bacterial small subunit ribosomal RNA", at positions 355 to 776 of the family's 1533-position model. The record is from RNAcentral. Lineage: Bacteria; Bacillati; Actinomycetota; Actinomycetes.
UAGGGAAUCUUCCGCAAUGGGCGAAAGCCUGACGGAGCAACGCCGCGUGAGUGAUGAAGGUCUUCGGAUCGUAAAACUCUGUUAUUAGGGAAGAACAAAUGUGUAAGUAACUAUGCACGUCUUGACGGUACCUAAUCAGAAAGCCACGGCUAACUACGUGCCAGCAGCCGCGGUAAUACGUAGGUGGCAAGCGUUAUCCGGAAUUAUUGGGCGUAAAGCGCGCGUAGGCGGUUUUUUAAGUCUGAUGUGAAAGCCCACGGCUCAACCGUGGAGGGUCAUUAGAAACUGGAAAACUUGAGUGCAGAAGAGGAAAGUGGAAUUCCAUGUGUAGCGGUGAAAUGCGCAGAGAUAUGGAGGAACACCAGUGGCGAAGGCGACUUUCUGGUCUGUAACUGACGCUGAUGUGCGAAAGCGUGGGAAUCAAACAGG